ACCUUAUCUUCUCAACCAUUCCCCUAGCUCCUCCUUCCCCUCCCCUCCUCCGUCAACAGCGGCGGCGGCCCCGGCGGUGGCGGCUGCUCCCCCUCCCCUCCUCCCCGUGAGGGAGUAGCGGCUCGGCGGGAGAAGGCUGCGGCGGCGGCUCCGUCGGCGAGGCGCGGCGGCUGCUGGCGAAGGGGUGUGGCGGCUGCUGGCGGAGGCGACGCAGUGGCUGCGGCGGGCGCGGGACGGGCGGCGGACAGCGCGGCGGCCGCGGCAGCGCGUUGCUCGGCGAAGGAGCGGCAAGCAGCGAGCGGCGCGCGAGGCGACGGCCAGGCGAGGCGGCAGCCUACGCAACUGGCGGCGGUGGGCGGGCUCGCGACGGCAACGGCGAUAAGUUUCUCCUCCGCUCGUUGACGAGUUUCUGUAGUAGUUUCACGAGUUUCGCCGUAGAGCUCGGGGGAGGCGGGCAGGCUCAACGGCUCGCAGCGGCGGCCGGAUGCGGGCAGUCGACGAUGUUCGCGUUUUUUUUAUUUUUGGGUUUUUUUUUUGCGUGCGGGAGAUAUAAAUUGACCGUACGGGAUAAUCGAUUAUCCAGUGCGGUCCACUUAAUCCGACCGUAUGG
Molecule: small RNA, 610 nt
Filed under: Oryza sativa Japonica Group (Japanese rice)
Lineage: Eukaryota; Viridiplantae; Streptophyta; Magnoliopsida; Poales; Poaceae
Description: sRNA Os03g0660050
Source: RNAcentral